RNAcentral lists this long non-coding RNA (427 nucleotides) under Homo sapiens (human). Its description in RNAcentral is "HSALNT0397828". The record is from RNAcentral. Lineage: Eukaryota; Metazoa; Chordata; Mammalia; Primates; Hominidae.
UUAAAGGGUCCGCAGCCUGACUCUGCGGAGUAAGGGGGGGUGGAGCGGGGGAGUCGGCCUCGCCAGUGCGCAUGCGCGAGGCCCAAGCCGCCGCUUGGGUCACAGUGAAAGCCACCGUUGCCCGGGGAUGGGUCCCUGACACUUGGCGAAGUAGGAGCCCUGUGUGAUCGUGCGUCUGAGUCUGGGCUGAGACCAGUCCUGGUCAGGGCAGUUACCAGGACGGUUUCCGGAGGCCGGGAUUCGCGGAGGGUCCACCAGCAGGAAGAAACGCCAGGAGGAAGAAAACUCAGACAGAUCGCCGGCGAGGCAGCGCGGCAUCCCAGCCUCAGGCGUGCGCGGACGGUGUGCGGCCUCUCCCCGCGUCUCUGCCUGGGUCGUGUGGCCGGUUGGCAGUCGUCGUCCCGGCAGUUCCAGUUUGGGGGUCUGU